RNAcentral lists this ribosomal RNA (179 nucleotides) under Vibrio cholerae. RNAcentral's name for it is "partial 16S ribosomal RNA". It matches the Rfam family "Bacterial small subunit ribosomal RNA", at positions 1 to 171 of the family's 1533-position model. The record is from RNAcentral. Lineage: Bacteria; Pseudomonadati; Pseudomonadota; Gammaproteobacteria; Vibrionales; Vibrionaceae.
UUUAAUUGAAGAGUUUGAUCAUGGCUCAGAUUGAACGCUGGCGGCAGGCCUAACACAUGCAAGUCGAGCGGCAGCACAGAGGAACUUGUUCCUUGGGUGGCGAGCGGCGGACGGGUGAGUAAUGCCUGGGAAAUUGCCCGGUAGAGGGGGAUAACCAUUGGAAACGAUGGCUAAUACCG